Molecule: transfer RNA, 83 nt
Filed under: Kumanoa mahlacensis
Lineage: Eukaryota; Rhodophyta; Florideophyceae; Batrachospermales; Batrachospermaceae
Description: tRNA-Leu
Rfam family: tRNA
About the family: Transfer RNA (tRNA) molecules are approximately 80 nucleotides in length. Their secondary structure includes four short double-helical elements and three loops (D, anti-codon, and T loops). Further hydrogen bonds mediate the characteristic L-shaped molecular structure. tRNAs have two regions of fundamental functional importance: the anti-codon, which is responsible for specific mRNA codon recognition, and the 3' end, to which the tRNAs corresponding amino acid is attached (by aminoacyl-tRNA synthetases). tRNAs cope with the degeneracy of the genetic code in two manners: having more than one tRNA (with a specific anti-codon) for a particular amino acid; and 'wobble' base-pairing, i.e. permitting non-standard base-pairing at the 3rd anti-codon position.
Source: RNAcentral
ACUCGCUUGGUGAAAGUAAGGUAAACACGAUGGAUUUAAAAUCCAUUCUCUAUGAGUUACCGGUUCGAGUCCGGUAGCGAGUA